Non-coding RNA from Pelobates cultripes (western spadefoot toad), 106 nucleotides. NCBI's taxonomy places the organism in Eukaryota, Metazoa, Chordata, Amphibia, Anura, Pelobatidae. The record is from the annotation of a GenBank genome assembly.
AGGGAGAGCCUAAGGCAGAAGGGGAGCAGGGAGAGCAUGAGGCAGAGGAGGAUCGGGGAGAGCCUCAUGCUCUCCCUGCUCCCUUCCUGCCUUAGGCUCUCCCUGC